CACAGACAAGAAAAGAAUAACAAAUGAUCUUUAAAAUUUUCUGGGUGAUUCAAGCUGUGAAGAAAUUAAUAUUACAGAGAUGAGAAUUUAGUGAAGAAGAUGGUCAAGCUGGCUGCUGCUUCGGUGGUUCAGCCGCUGCUUCCUCCGCCGGAGCUUCGUCCUUGACUUCUUCUUUCUUGGGUUCUUGUUGUUCAUCUUGAACUAAAAUUUCUUUGUCUUUGGAUUCAACUUCUUCCUUGGUCUGUGUUUCUGCAGGUGGCUCAGCCGCCGCAGCUUUAUCUUCCACAAUUACCAAGCUUGAAACUUUUUCCAGUAUGAACAAAACUGGCCCUGAAACUGAUCCUGAUCCAUACUUGGAUGAUAUUUCGCUUACUGCCUU
This 379-nucleotide long non-coding RNA is filed under the name Carica papaya (papaya). Its description in RNAcentral is "long non-coding RNA (CPAP_LNC010257)". The record is from RNAcentral. Lineage: Eukaryota; Viridiplantae; Streptophyta; Magnoliopsida; Brassicales; Caricaceae.